AAAUUUUUAAAAAAUUUUGGCUUUAUGUAUAAAGUGGCACACUAAAUUAAGAUAAAGAUAAGAAUAAGAAAAAAAUAACUUUUUUGACAAAUAAAUUAAGCGUUUGCCAAAAGUACCAGUUGGUUAACAUAGUGUAGUUAAUCUCAAUCAAUAAAAUUAAAGUGACGAAAUGAGCUUCCCUCUGAAUAAACUUCAACGUUUUAAGGGAAACAUGAGAAAAGCGAUAAGAAAUCAAUUGAACUGAAAGCAGCGGACAGCCAGCACAGAAUAAGCUAAGAACUAUAAACCGAGGCUAAAGAAGCGGAGCGGGUUAUGACGAAUGCGCGAUGAACCAUUGCAAGGCAGUCACGGUCUUAACGAAAUGCGUGAAGACAAGCAAUGGAAGUAUGUAUUUACUCAAUUACCAGAUUAUCGGAUUCUAGUGAAAGAAGUCAAUGGAUAUAAGGAUUAUCACGUAUUUCAAAGGAACAUGCAAAGUUAUCAACUAAUUAGUCAAUCAGACUUGAUUAUUCCGACCUAAGUGGUCUUUAGAUUGAAGACUCAAGCUCACCUACAAUUUUUCAAAACUUUCUUAACUUUUCAUGACAAGUUCUGUCCGUAAUGUAUUCGUACCUUUAAACGGAUAAUUUUUAGUAGGAAAUAUGGUUCAGAGCGCUUAUUAAUCGCUAUAUAUCUAUUAGUUACGUAAUAUAAGUUAUGUAAUAUAAAUAACUGUAUGCUUAUUUUAGUGAUGUUAUCCCAAUAUUUGGACAAUAAACGCGAGCUUAAUGAGUUUUAAGCAUUCUGAUAAAUAAAA
Long non-coding RNA from Bactrocera neohumeralis, 796 nucleotides. RefSeq lists it as uncharacterized. Lineage: Eukaryota; Metazoa; Arthropoda; Insecta; Diptera; Tephritidae. The transcript has 3 exons. The record is from RefSeq and is a predicted model, not a curated record.